This 440-nucleotide ribosomal RNA is filed under the name uncultured bacterium. RNAcentral describes it as "partial 16S ribosomal RNA". It matches the Rfam family "Bacterial small subunit ribosomal RNA", at positions 338 to 795 of the family's 1533-position model. The record is from RNAcentral.
CCUACGGGGGGCAGCAGUAGGGAAUAUUGCUCAAUGGGGGAAACCCUGAAGCAGCAACGCCGCGUGGAGGAUGAAGGUUUUCGGAUUGUAAACUCCUUUUGUUAGAGAAGAUAAUGACGGUAUCUAACGAAUAAGCACCGGCUAACUCCGUGCCAGCAGCCGCGGUAAUACGGAGGGUGCAAGCGUUACUCGGAAUCACUGGGCGGAAAGAGCGCGUAGGCGGGAUAGCAAGUCAGAUGUUAAAUCCUAUGGCUUAACCAUAGAACUGCAUUUGAAACUGUUAUUCUAGAGUAUGGGAGAGGUAGGUGGAAUUCUUGGUGUAGGGGUAAAAUCCGUAGAGAUCAAGAGGAAUACUCAUUGCGAAGGCGACCUGCUAGAACAUAACUGACGCUGAUGCGCGAAAGCGUGGGGAGCAAACAGGAUUAGAUACCCCAGUAGUC